AGAGCUUCUCGGCCUUUUGGCUAAGAUCAUGUGUAGUAUCUGUUCUUAUCAGUUUAAUAUCUGAUACGUCCCCCAACCGGGGACCAUAUAUUAAAUUGAUUAUUGAAACAGGGAGAACAGUGCACUCCCC
Molecule: small nuclear RNA, 130 nt
Gene: U2
Rfam family: U2 spliceosomal RNA
About the family: U2 is a small nuclear RNA (snRNA) component of the spliceosome (involved in pre-mRNA splicing). Complementary binding between U2 snRNA (in an area lying towards the 5' end but 3' to hairpin I) and the branchpoint sequence (BPS) of the intron results the bulging out of an unpaired adenosine, on the BPS, which initiates a nucleophilic attack at the intronic 5' splice site, thus starting the first of two transesterification reactions that mediate splicing.
Source: Ensembl